AUCUGAAUGGCUCAGUUGGUUUGAGCGUAGUGCUGAUAACGCCAAGGUUGCAGGUUUGAUCCCCGUAAGGGACA
Non-coding RNA from Podarcis lilfordi (Lilford's wall lizard), 74 nucleotides. The record is from the annotation of a GenBank genome assembly. Lineage: Eukaryota; Metazoa; Chordata; Lepidosauria; Squamata; Lacertidae.